GCCGGAUUAGCACAGCGGUAGUGCAUUCGAUUCGUAAUCGAAAGGUCAUGGGUUCGAUUCCCAUAUCCGGCU
RNAcentral lists this transfer RNA (72 nucleotides) under bacterium. RNAcentral describes it as "tRNA-Thr". It matches the Rfam family "tRNA". From Rfam's summary of the family: Transfer RNA (tRNA) molecules are approximately 80 nucleotides in length. Their secondary structure includes four short double-helical elements and three loops (D, anti-codon, and T loops). The record is from RNAcentral.